RNAcentral lists this transfer RNA (93 nucleotides) under Ornithorhynchus anatinus (platypus). It matches the Rfam family "tRNA". Rfam says of the family: Transfer RNA (tRNA) molecules are approximately 80 nucleotides in length. The record is from Rfam by way of RNAcentral. Lineage: Eukaryota; Metazoa; Chordata; Mammalia; Monotremata; Ornithorhynchidae.
CCUUCAAUAGUUCAGCUGGUAGAGUGGAGGACUGUAGAUGGUGAUAUUGUGGUGGUGAUCCUUAGGUAGCUGGUUCAAUUCCAGCUCAAAGGA